Molecule: transfer RNA, 72 nt
Filed under: Camelus bactrianus (Bactrian camel)
Lineage: Eukaryota; Metazoa; Chordata; Mammalia; Artiodactyla; Camelidae
Also listed under: 1 other name
Rfam family: tRNA
About the family: Transfer RNA (tRNA) molecules are approximately 80 nucleotides in length. Their secondary structure includes four short double-helical elements and three loops (D, anti-codon, and T loops).
Source: Rfam by way of RNAcentral
GAAGGAAUAGCUCAGUGGUAGAGUGCAUGCCUAGCAUGCCCAAGGUCCUGGGUUCAAUCCCCAGUACUUCUA